UACGUAGGCAGCGAGCGUUGUUCGGAAUUAUUGGGCGUAAAGGGUGCGUAGGCGGCCUGACAAGUCUGAUGUGAAAUCCCUGGGCUCAACCCAGGGCCUGCAUCGGAAACUGUCGGGCUUGAGUAUGGGAGAGGUGAGUGGAAUUUCCGGUGUAGCGGUGAAAUGCGUAGAUAUCGGAAGGAACACCUGUGGCGAAAGCGGCUCACUGGACCAUUACUGACGCUGAGGCACGAAAGCUAGGGGAGCAAACAGG
RNAcentral lists this ribosomal RNA (253 nucleotides) under uncultured bacterium. RNAcentral describes it as "partial 16S ribosomal RNA". It matches the Rfam family "Bacterial small subunit ribosomal RNA", at positions 524 to 776 of the family's 1533-position model. The record is from RNAcentral.